AAACCAAUUAAAAAAAAAAAUCCCAAGAGACAUUUAUUGAGGGGGGGUACAGGACACGGGGGGGAUUCCGGCCACUCCGCUCCGGAACUACGGGGGGACCCGGGGGGACCCGGGGGGACCCGGCCUCGGCGGCCCCGGGAAUUCCGGGGGGACUCCCGGAGGUCCCGGGGGUCCCCUGAGGGUCCCGGGGGGAUCCCGGGAAGUCCCGGGGGAUCCGGGGGGCUCCCAGCAGGGUCCUGGGGGGAUCCCGGGGGGUCCCCAGACGGUCCCGGGGCUCUCCCGGCCCAGCGCCGGCUCCAGGGGCCGCCCCGGCUCCCGCCCAGCUCCGGCUCCUGCGGGACAGAGAGGCGGGUCAGGAGCGGGGUCGGGAUUGGGGUCGGGAUUGGGGCAGGGUCAGCGCAGGGAUCGGGAUCGGGAUCAGGUCAGGGCAGGGAUCGGGGCAGGGGCAGGAUCGGGGUCAGGAUUGGGACCGGAAUCAGGGCAGGAUCGGGAUCAGGUCAGGGCUGGGAUCGGGGCAGGGGCUGGGGCAGGGGCAGGGGCAGGAUUGGAGUUGGGAUCAGCAUUGGGGCAGGCUCAGCACUGGGGUCAGGGCAGGGUCCGGAUUGGGAUCAGGGUUGUGAUCAGAACUGGGGCAGGGGCAGGAUCAGGGCUGGGAUCGGGAUCAGGAGCAGCUCCGGUGCUGGGGGCUCCAGGAGGGGCAGAGCCCCAAACCCAACUCCAGUCCCUGCCUCGAUCCCAGUCCCAAUCCCUGCCCAGAUCCCAGUCCCAUCCCAGCCCAAAUCCCUGCCCAGAUCCCAUUUCCUGCCCCAAUCCUGCCCCAUUCCCAUCCCAUUCCCAUUCCCAACCCCAAUCCCUGCCCCAUUCCCAUUCCCAUCCCUGCCCCGAUCCCGGCCCCAAUCCCUGCCCAGAUCCCAUUCCCAUCCCAUUCCCAUUUCCAACCCUGCCCCAAUCCCCGCCCCAUUCCCAUCCCAUUCCCAUUCCCAUCCCUGCCCAUUCCCAUUCCCAACCCCAAUCCUGCCCCAUUCCCAUCCCAUUCCCAUUCCCAACCCCAAUCCUGCCCCAUUCCCAUCCCAUUCCCAUUCCCAACCCCAAUCCAUGCCCCAUUCCCAUUCCCAUCCCUGCCCUGAUCCCCCCCGACCCAGCCCCAUUUCCAUCCCUGCCCCAAUCCUGCCCCAUUCCCAUUCCCAAUCCUGCCCCAUUCCCAUCCCUGCCCCGAUCCUGGCCCCAGCCCCGCUGCAAUUCCCACCUCCCCUUUCCCCUCACUCCCAUCCUUUUUCCACCUUUUUCCUGCUAUUUCCCUAUUUUCCAUCACUUUCUUUCCCAAUUCCUCUCACUUUUAACCAUUUCCUCCAUCUCUUCCCAACUUUUUCUCCUUUCCAACCUUUUCUCACUUCCCUCUUUUCUUUUUUCCCCCCCAAUUGUCUUUUCCCCCUUUUUUCCCUUUUCCCCAACCCUUUCCCUUCAUCCCUCUCACUUCAACUUCCCUUCAUCUUUCCCCAAACCUUUUUCCUAUUUUCCCACUUUUCUGCCUGA
This 1533-nucleotide long non-coding RNA is filed under the name Taeniopygia guttata (zebra finch). RNAcentral's name for it is "lncRNA (ENSTGUG00000020768.1)". Lineage: Eukaryota; Metazoa; Chordata; Aves; Passeriformes; Estrildidae. The record is from RNAcentral.